GGGGUUGUGGCUCAGUGGUAGAGCAUUUGUCUAACAUGCAUGAGGCACUGGGUUCAAUCCCUGCACCA
Molecule: transfer RNA, 68 nt
Filed under: Ictidomys tridecemlineatus (thirteen-lined ground squirrel)
Lineage: Eukaryota; Metazoa; Chordata; Mammalia; Rodentia; Sciuridae
Description: Spermophilus tridecemlineatus (thirteen-lined ground squirrel) tRNA
Rfam family: tRNA
About the family: Transfer RNA (tRNA) molecules are approximately 80 nucleotides in length. Their secondary structure includes four short double-helical elements and three loops (D, anti-codon, and T loops).
Source: Rfam by way of RNAcentral